GCACAACGCGAAGAACCUUACCUACUCUUGACAUCUAGCGAAGAUUGCAGAGAUGCAGUUGUGCCUUCGGGAACGCUAAGACAGGUGCUGCAUGGCUGUCGUCAGCUCGUGUUGUGAAAUGUUGGGUUAAGUCCCGCAACGAGCGCAACCCUUAUCCUUAGUUGCCAGCACGUAAUGGUGGGAACUCUAGGGAGACUGCCGGUGAUAAACCGGAGGAAGGUGGGGACGACGUCAAGUCAUCAUGGCCCUUACGAGUAGGGCUACACACGUGCUACAAUGGUACGUACAGAGGGAGGCAAGCUGGCGACAGUGAGCGGAUCUCUUAAAGCGUAUCGUAGUCCGGAUCGCAGUCUGCAACUCGACUGCGUGAAGUCGGAAUCGCUAGUAAUCGCAAAUCAGAAUGUUGCGGUGAAUACGUUCCCGGGUCUUGUACACACCG
This 439-nucleotide ribosomal RNA is filed under the name uncultured bacterium. RNAcentral describes it as "bacterial SSU rRNA". It matches the Rfam family "Bacterial small subunit ribosomal RNA", at positions 954 to 1392 of the family's 1533-position model. The record is from RNAcentral.